This 81-nucleotide transfer RNA is filed under the name Gonium pectorale. It matches the Rfam family "tRNA". From Rfam's summary of the family: Transfer RNA (tRNA) molecules are approximately 80 nucleotides in length. Their secondary structure includes four short double-helical elements and three loops (D, anti-codon, and T loops). Lineage: Eukaryota; Viridiplantae; Chlorophyta; Chlorophyceae; Chlamydomonadales; Volvocaceae. The record is from Rfam by way of RNAcentral.
GCGGAUGUGCCCGAGUGGUUAAGGGGUCUGACUUGAAAUCAGAUGGUACACGCCUCGCAGGUUCGAAUCCUGUCGUCCGCG